CACGUAGUUAGCCGUGGCUUGCUCCUUAGUUACCGUCAUUAUUCUUCACUAAGAACAGAAGUUUACAAUCCGAAAACCGUCUUCCUUCACGCGGCGUUGCUGCAUCAGGCUUUCGCCCAUUGUGCAAUAUUCCCCACUGCUGCCUCCCGUAGGAGUCUGGGCCGUGUCUCAGUCCCAAUGUGGCCGUCCAACCUCUCAGUCCGGCUACUGAUCGUCGACUUGGUAGGCCGUUACCCCACCAACUAUCUAAUCAGACGCGAGUCCAUCCUUAGGCGCCUCAGCUUUGGUAUAUCUACGAUGCCGUUAAUAUACUUUAUAUGGUAUUACCGUCCGUUUCCAGACGCUAUCCCUUUCCUAAGGGCAGGUUACUCACGCGUUACUCACCCGUCCGCCACUCAGUCAUAUCAGAUUUCUUCCGAAGAAUCCAUCAUCAAGCUUCGUUCGACUUGCAUGUGUUAGGCACGCCGCCAGCCGUUCGUCCUGAGUCCAGGAUCAAACUCU
This 501-nucleotide ribosomal RNA is filed under the name uncultured Eubacteriales bacterium. RNAcentral's name for it is "uncultured Clostridiales bacterium partial 16S ribosomal RNA". The record is from RNAcentral. Lineage: Bacteria; Bacillati; Bacillota; Clostridia; Eubacteriales.